CAUCAAUCUAAAUGAGAGUCUCACCUCAUUAAGGUCCAUUAAGGAUGAAUCCCACCUUUUCAGUGAGACCUGAGAUCUGGACCAAUCUAUUAAAAAUUGCACCCUGCCCCACUUCCCACCAUAAUCCUAUUCUCUAGACCCCUUUCCCUGCUGUGUAUCUUCCUGCAGAAUUUGUCACCUCCUAACAUGCUAUCUGCUUGUUUAUUAGGUUGUAUAUCUCACCUGAUUGGAAUGUAUGCUUCAAAAAGGCAGAGAUUUUAGUCUGCUCUGUUUAUUACUGCAUCACACAAGUCUAGAACAGGACCUGAAGUCUGAAAACUUCAAGUAUUUGAAGAACUAUUGCUUUGAUUUCCUGUUGCAGUUCAGCAGGUUAAGGAUCCAACAUUGUCUCUGUGAGGUUGCAGGUUUGCUCUCUGGCUUUGCUCAGUGGGUUAAGAACCUGGUGUUGCCAUAAGCUGCAGUAUAGAUCACAGAUGUGGCUCAGAUCCAGUGUUGCUAUGGCUGUGGCGUGGGCCUCGGCUGUAGCUCCAGUUCUACCCCUAGGCUUGGGAACUCCCAUAUGCCGCAGAUGCAGCCAUAAAAAGAAAAAAAAAAGAGAGACCCAUUAAAAUUAAAAAAAAAUUAAAUAUCGAUUGAGCGAUACAUUAACAUGUGUGCUCAGAUGUGACUAAUUAUACAAGGGCAGGUCUCUUCACUUGAUAAAUACCCAGGAUGGAGUUUUGAUUUAGUAAAUGUGACAAAACAACACCUGAAUAUAUUCUUGUAUUUCUCAUUUACAAAAACUGACUCUGCCUAUUGCUCUUAACUGCUGGAGUUUGGAAAUUAUAUUGUAUAUACUAGCAAAACAACCAAAUUAGAUACACCAAUUCAUUUACUGGACUUCAGCUUUUACAAGGAAUUCAUAACCCAGCACCACCCACCUACCCCCUUCAAUUAAAUUCACAUUGAGCUCACUACGUGUUUCUCUCAAGCCCUUCAAGGCUGCUAGUAAGUCAUGUUGCAGUUUUAUUAGCAUGUGACACUUCAGAGAGAGGCUUGUAUCAGAAAGUAAGUUACAUGGAGACAAAGUUUUCCAAUGCUAGUUGUCUUCUGAGAAUGAAUGCCAUAUAUUUAGGUGAGAGUUGCAUUAUGUUUUGCUAUGCAGUUGCCAACUUUAACCUCUAAGGGUCAUUCUCAGUGUCUUCUCCAUGUGGGAAAAAGAUUCUGUAGUCCUUUUACCUGGGGUGGCUCUCCAUCUACCAUGUGUGGACAGUAAGUUGCCAAGGAAAAAUCUGAGGAUGACUUGUUCAAUUACAUCGUUGGAUUGCUAACUCACGGGUGGAAAAAGUGGGGGCGUGUUAUUUAUCCUCUGACUUGGGUUUUUUGGAAUGCUCCUCUAACUUCACAAAAAAGUCUCCCAGUUUAUAUCAUUUUUGCCAGACACAUCUAGCAAAUGCUUGGCUAUAUUCAGCAAGCUUUAGACCAGAAAUAAGGGACACUUGUCACCUUGAAAUCCAAAUGACCUAAUACUGAUGUAUUAAUUAGUAUUAUUCUUUUAAAAAUUUUUCAUUGAAAUUUGUUAUUAAAAAGUACUUGAGCUUACAGCUCAAUGAGUUUUCGUGACAUGAAGACCCCUGUGCAACAACACCCAGAUCCAGAAACAGAACAUAGUCAGAAGCUCAGAAGCACCCCUUUGUGAUUCCUACCAAUCACUACCUAUCCCCCCAAGGGUAAUCACUAUCUUGACUAAUAAGUAACAGCAUGGAACAGCAAAGUUCUCUUUGCUUUUUUGUUCUUUACAUAAAUAGAACCAUACAGUAUGUAUUCUUUUGCAUUGAUUUCUUUCCUUUUUUUUAUGUUAGUGGUAUGUUUUUCACUGAAUUGAGUUAUAGAUCAUUCAUUCUCACUGCUAUGUGAAUAGACUGCAAUUUAUUUAUCAUUCCAACUCUUGAUGGGAAUUUGGACAGUUUCCAGUGUAAGGCUCUUAUAAUGAUGCCAUGAACAUUCUAGUGAAUAGACGUAUGGUGGAAAUAUGUAGGUAUUUCUGUUAGUUAUAUACCUAAGGGUGAAUUUCAGGUUCUGAUGCUUCUCCAUAGGUGGACUGUUCUUUGAAAGGGAAAACGUACCUAUGCAUCCAGGAGAAAAGAACAGUGUGAUGGCAGCAGAAUCCAGUGACAGCCAUAAACUGGAUGAUUUCAUAAGAGGACAAUAAAAUAGCUUCCCUGGUGCUGUCCACUUCUGCUGACAUGAAUAAUACAAUUAUGGGUCCCCAACAUCUUUCCUCAUCUCUUCCAUAGAAGGGCGGAGUGAGGGGAUAGAUAUUUCCAUCAUCACAAAACCCACAAAGAAUUUCACUCUCCAAAAUCAAAGUGUCUACAUGAUUAAGUUAGACCUCUGCUUCUUGUUCCAAGAAAUUAUCCUAUUUGUAUCUGCCAAGGAGGGCAGGGAACCAUAAUUAAAAUUCACACUUGCAUAUCACUCUCCAUCUGCAAAGUACUUCAUAGAUAUUAACUAAUUAAUCCUCCACCUUUCUCCUCCUGCUUUCCCAGCCUUCCUCCCCACCAUGAAGCAGGUGGCAUCUCCAUAUUAGGUCGCUGAUUUGCAAAAAGAUAAACACAAGAACAGGUUAUGCCAUAUCCCUGAUGAGGUCCAGGAGUGUAAAAUAAAUACUUUGCUGCCUGGGGCUUUUGUGAAAUAAAAUUACCACAUACUUUAAGCCUGGAGAUCUAAAUUGCAUAAAUAAAGCCUCUGAAGAAUUUUUGUCACAUAUGACAGGAAAGAUGGAUUUAUCAAUGUGUUUGUUUACUAAACUGUCACAGUGGUUGCUCAUGAAUACCAAUGAUGCCAUAGCUCCUGGGAAAGCUAUGUAAGAUCCCUGAG
Molecule: long non-coding RNA, 2859 nt
Filed under: Sus scrofa (pig)
Lineage: Eukaryota; Metazoa; Chordata; Mammalia; Artiodactyla; Suidae
Description: lncRNA (ENSSSCG00015041381.1)
Source: RNAcentral